Non-coding RNA from Pelecanus crispus (Dalmatian pelican), 373 nucleotides. NCBI's taxonomy places the organism in Eukaryota, Metazoa, Chordata, Aves, Pelecaniformes, Pelecanidae. The record is from Rfam.
CCGCGCAGCUCUGCCUCAGACCGCUCAAACAUCCCUUUCUGUGCUGUAUUAAUCCAUAUAAGAAAAUCUCUUUUAAUGAGGAGUGAUAUAGUUAUGAACUCUCUAGAGCCAUAAUUAGAGCAAACUAAUUGAAGUUGUGUUUUGACACACUUUCCAAAUUCACGGGUACUGCAUGACAUAUUCACAACGCUACUGCUGCACAGCCAUGGCGACAGCAAAAUCAUUAGGCUAAUAACGCUUAUUUGCAUUCUUAUCAUGCCAGCAGCAUGCCGUUAAAUACUGCUUCAACCAGUGCUCGUUUACUCUGAAAGUUUCCACUGAAAGAUAUUAACAGUAAUUAUUAGUACUUUAGUGGAAUCUCUAAUGUUAAGGA